GCCCCAGGGGACGGACGCAGCAAGGGAGAGCAGGUUCCCUGAACCAAGAGGCGGAAUGCUAUGGGGUCCUUAAGUCUGGAGACUUUGAGGAGGAACAAGCACAUCCUAUCCCCAAACACUCCAGGCAUCAGACAGCGCCAUGCCUCUUGCCCCUCCCCUGGGUGGGAGGCUGCCCUGUCUUCCCAGGUCCUUGAGGCUCUCUGGCUGCCGCUGUGGGUGCAGAAGAGGUGGGGUCCCUGCAUACACCCAGCCAGCCGGCCGCACUGCCCCUUCAGACACCAGCUCCUGCCUGACGCAGGAAGCCCAGGCAAUGGCCAGGAGCUUGGCUGGGGGCUCUGAGCGCAAAGCUGCUUGUGGGGACAGAGGAGAGGGCAGCUGGUGGAUCUCUGGCUUCUGGCUGGGCUGGUUCAGGAUGUUUCUUCUCAGGAGGCUACUUGUAUCAAGGUUGGAGGAGGCUGGAGCAGGCCUCUCACUUGUCCCCACAUACCCUGACCCCACAUACCCUGACCCCACAUACCCUAAGCCCACAUACCCUGACCCCAUCAUAAGAAAUGCCAGCUCGCCCUGGACAUCCCAUGGCUUCUCCUCACCCCCCCACUUCCCCAGGCAGGCUGCCCAGGCCAGGAUGUGGAUGAGAACUGUCAACAGACACUCUUUAAAUAUUUACCCACACUUUCUCUGGGCGGUUUCCCUCACCCCCAAGACAGGGUACAUGCAAGUUAAUUCUAAUGCACCCUUCUCUGGCCAUAUGUGCGUGCAGUUAUGUGGGCUGAACACAGACAGAGAGAAAAGGGAGAAAGUGAGAGAGCUGUAGAUAUGUGUGCUGUGUGCAUACGAAUGAAGAAGAGGAAGAAUGAUUUUUCUGGCCCUCUCCCAGUACAGUGUGUGAGGUUGUUACACACAGGACAACACUGAGGUACACUGGGGAUAUACAGAUACUGUAUAUGCUACCUUCCACCCUGAAAAACAUCAAAUGCACGCUCACUAAACUAUCAUGCCUUGAAGCACCCCUGUCACUUCACAAAUACUGUGCACACACAUGCACACCCAGGCACAUAGGAAAACAAUGCCUAACAAAUACACGCGCAGCUUUAGCUCUUUGCAUCAUGAACAAAUUUGCUACCUAUUUUCCGUCCACAUCCUGAGGCUUCCACAUCCUGGAUGAGGAAGGAGGCAGAAGGAAACCAGAUCUUUUUCUUCCCCAUCUGGAAGCCAGCUCUGGGUAUGGAGGAAGGCAUGGCAGUGCAGGGGAGGAUGGUGUUGAGAGAACGGAGCCUCCCCACCCCACCCCUCUAUUAUCUAAAUAAUUUCUGGGGAAAUGGCCACCCUCAGCCACAUUCUCCAAGGAGAUUCACUGAUGCCCAAGCAAGAGAUGCUUCCUCUAUCCUCUGAAUUUAGAGAAACCCACCCCCAUCUGAGUUCGGGGCUGCCCAGACUCUGUGAAGCCCAGACCAUGGACCCUGGAGCAGCAGGAGGGGAGGGUCAGAGGAAGGCUGUGCCAGGGCUUCAUGUCUCCCUAGGGCCCAGGAUAGUGGAGGACACGACAGGGGAGAGCACGCUCCAGCCUUGGUUGCAGCCCUGCCUUCUCUGAGCCUGCUCUGCAGUCCUGAGCGGAUCCGGAUGGACUCUGGGCUCCCAGCAUCUGAUCACCCGGACUGUCAUAAAUACUUUCUCCUCCCUGCCUGGGAAGAGGAGGCUCGGCAGGCCGGGUCCGUUCUGGAGCCUGCACCUUAUCUUUUAGAGGGUGGAGGGGAUAUCUCUACAGUUUAUGGUCCAGCGAAAUCCCUGCCACACAGCUAUUCUUCCGGGUCUUUGUGUCUUGGAAUGCGACUGUCCUGAGUGUGCCGCCACCACCACCACCACCACCACCACCACCGCCGGCUCCGAGAGCCCACCAGUCCUGAAAACCCUGGCCGGACUUGGUUUCCCCUUUUGGGGGGUCCCUCGCCUUUUCUUCCUUUCUUUCAUUUGAUUUUUUUUUCUUUUACACGUAACUGGUUGAUUUCCCUUCGGGAGCCAGGAAAUAAAGAACCACAAGCAGCCAUCCUCGCUUGGGAGUCUCUGUCCCUCGCCUCGAGGCCUGCACCGCCUUUCUAGGUAUCGCGGAUUUAUGUUCGUUUGUCUGGGUCAUUCUGCCUUUUUGUGUUAAUUACGCGCUGCCUGCUUCGUUCUUAUCUCCUCCGCAAAGGGAUUAUUUUCGACACCCGCCCUCCCUCGCCUCCCUCGCGAACCUGCUGUCAGAGCCAGGGCCCAUCUCCCGCCACCGCUCGCGAUUUAUUUACACCUCGCAGGUGAGAGGAUUGAUUUGCUCAGCCAGUAGGGCCGGGCUGGACCGGGGCGCGGGGCCUUGUCGCCACUGCUCGGAGGAGCCGGGCCUCAAAUGUCAGCGCGGCCAGGCCGGCCAGGGGCACCGCCGCCGCCUCUAAUAUUGAACAACAGCGCCACCUCGCGUUCAUUUUCUCCAAUGCAGUCCAGCUGGGGAAAAAGCCGAGGGAGAGAGCAAGCAGGUCUCAGGCUUGGCCCUAAGAGACACCAUGCAAAGGAACUGCCGCGAUCCUUCCUCCUCCCCUCUUCAGGCGCAUUUCUGGGCUGGGAACACCUCCGCGCACGCCGACGCACGCUCUGAAGCUCCCGCAACCACCUGCCCAAGGCUGCACCCUGAACUCCUGGCUCUUCUUACCCUGCUGCAGGUCCCGCACCGCCUAUUCCGCCGCUGCCCGCUGGACUUUGGGGUGGGACUCAGACUUCUCCCGGCUGUUUGCCCCCUGGUUUGCAGCCCAUCCCUCUCUCACGCGCGCUCUCUCCACCUCUCCCUCCCAGCCAGUGAGGUCCUGUUCUCCGUGGGCCAUAGACAAAACAUUCCUAUAAUCUGAUUUCAAAGGAAAGAGUGUCCACCUUAUUUAAACCAUAAAACAAUUAAGCCCAGACGUCUAGCCAGCUCCGCGCUGCUGUUUUGUUCGGCCCCAUUCAGAAUCCAGCGCAGGGAGACAAACAGCGCCAUAAAAGUGGCAUUUCGGUGCUGCGGAAAUGUACCUAUCCCCGGCCUUUCCAAGUGGAACAACCUUUAGGGUUUUGUGGUUCUGACAAAGGAGCAGAGGAGAGGUGGGAGGGGAAGAGUAGGGCAGGAGGGCGUUUGCUAGCCCCUUUCCCCCAGCUUUCGUUUCUUUCCCCAGAUGUGUGUUGUGUCGUGGUGGUUCUAACUCACAAAUUAUAAUAAAUAAAAAUUGAAUCCAAUCCUGA
Molecule: long non-coding RNA, 3240 nt
Organism: Myotis lucifugus (little brown bat)
Lineage: Eukaryota; Metazoa; Chordata; Mammalia; Chiroptera; Vespertilionidae
Exons: 2
Source: RefSeq, a predicted model, not a curated record